Molecule: long non-coding RNA, 1363 nt
Organism: Cavia porcellus (domestic guinea pig)
Lineage: Eukaryota; Metazoa; Chordata; Mammalia; Rodentia; Caviidae
Exons: 2
Source: RefSeq, a predicted model, not a curated record
CAUCGAUCUCAUUCUCCAUGUCCUCCGUGUGCUGGAUCUGCGGAGAGCACACCCUGAGCACCAGUCCCAGGCGCAGCCUCCCCCUGGUCUCCGGGGCCCUGCGGAACCCCCAGUGGCAGCCUCCUGGGGUUGGACCUGGAGCAAAGGAACCUGGCUCGGACUCCUUUCCACCUUGCGGCUCCAGCCCUGCCUGGCACAGACCCCCAAGCAGAAGCCCUUCGUGACAGCUCUGUUCUCCAAGUGCUUCUACUGUGUGCCGGCCAGAUAUGGACACAACUAUCAGAGCUUCAGCAGCCACACUGAUUACCAGACUGCAGGAAACCAAACCUCGGCUGGGGUGGGAUGGAACUCUGGCUGAUGGGCCUGCUUGUCUGUGGAGCUGCUCCCCGCUAAGCCAAUUCCUUGAUGACUGUCACACAAGCCCACUGACUGGGCAGAUCCCAAGCACAGAGCACUGUGUGGUGACUCCACAGCCCCUGGCUGACUGGGAGGAGGCUGUCUGAAGGGACACGCGCAUCUGUGCGGCAGAUAUGCGCAAACCCAGUGAAGCAGCCAAGCUUGGCCCUGGCCCCGAGCUCUGCUAUUGCAGGGAAUGGGACAAACAUGGCCAUCCUCAUGCACACACUCGCCAUCAGACGAACAAGUGUCGGGCCGUUCUUGAGCCAAAGCCACCUGAUAUGUCCCCUAGAGGUGUGCGCAGCAUUACACAAAACUGGGUCUUCUGCUUCUGCCUGUGGCAUGGGGAGAUGCACCUGACCCCACACUCACACACUGACAGAGCUCGCAGAUGAGGAAGGCUCCUAGUGUGGCCUCCUCAUGGUUGUCCUGGAUGUCCACAUUGACCACGUGCACUGGCUGGCAGGUCUCCUGUUCUCUGGAAUUCAGAUCUGAUUGGGACAAAGUGACAAAGAGGUUGGAAGCUCCAGAACCAGACAGCAAGGUGCCCUCAUGUGGCCCCACUAGCCCUGGCUGGGCUCCACUGCUGCCAGGCCGGCUCUGGGGUUUGGGAACAUGACUGAGGACUGUGCCUGUAGCCGGGCCAGGGAGUCCCUGAGGACCAUGCAUGACAAAAGCUGAACACACAGCAAGGCCACCCCUGAUACCAGCCCACCAUGGCCAAGACCCCCACGGAGGCAGUGGCAUUCAUGGUCCCCAUGGCACAUCAAGUGCCACACGGAACAGAGCCGGAGCCCAGAGGACUUGGCAUCGCCUUGCUGUGCCAUGGGCGGCAUCCACCUGCCCCGAAGCCCUCCCGGCCCUGCCCUUUCCAAGCAAUCACGCAGGGCUCACCUUCCACCACCUGAUCAUAAACCCUCUCUUCACAGGUCAGGAUCAGGUCAAACAAGUCCUUGCAGUUCUGGAA